RNAcentral lists this ribosomal RNA (500 nucleotides) under uncultured bacterium. RNAcentral describes it as "partial 16S ribosomal RNA". It matches the Rfam family "Bacterial small subunit ribosomal RNA", at positions 30 to 523 of the family's 1533-position model. The record is from RNAcentral.
AUUGAACGCUGGCGGCAUGCCUUACACAUGCAAGUCGAACGGCAGCACGGGAGCAAUCCUGGUGGCGAGUGGCGAACGGGUGAGUAAUGUAUCGGAACGUGCCCAGUCGUGGGGGAUAAUGUAGCGAAAGCUACGCUAAUACCGCAUACGAUCUAUGGAUGAAAGCGGGGGAUCGCAAGACCUCGCGCGAUUGGAGCGUCCGAUAUCAGAUUAGGUAGUUGGUGGGGUAAAGGCUCACCAAGCCGACGAUCUGUAGCUGGUCUGAGAGGACGACCAGCCACACUGGGACUGAGACACGGCCCAGACUCCUACGGGAGGCAGCAGUGGGGAAUUUUGGACAAUGGGCGCAAGCCUGAUCCAGCAAUGCCGCGUGCAGGAUGAAGGCCUUCGGGUUGUAAACUGCUUUUGUACGGAACGAAACGGCGAGCUCUAAUACAGUUUGCUAAUGACGGUACCGUAAGAAUAAGCACCGGCUAACUACGUGCCAGCAGCCGCCAUAA